CACAUUAGUCUCACUUGAGAUGCAAACUACAGGUGUCAUAAAUAGGCCUAGCUUAUUCCUGUUUUUAAAUGUUGCAGGUUUGUAAUAUAUCAUAACUUGAGACAGGACUAUAUAAAAAAUUUUUGACACAAGCAUGGUAACAAAAUAUAUUUUUGAAACAGAAGUUUGAAAAUCUGUAUGACAGUAUAAUAGCAUUUUAUGAUGGGAAAUUUCCAAUCAGUAGAAUAUAUAUUUGUAUAUUAAAGCUUUUCCUUCUUUUUCUGUACACUUCUGUAUAUUGUAGAUCUAAAUAGAGACAGAAUAUGAAAUUCCUCAAUAAAAAAUCUUUUUUUGAAAAUCAUUAUGAAAGAAAAAGCUAUUUCAAUUGUAAGGCAUCCCUGAAAUGUCACAGAUUUUGAUAAUGGUUUUAAAUGUUCAUUGUCAAUGCAUAUGUUUCAAAGUAUGCUAUUUAAUUUUAUAUGUUUAUAUAUUUUAUAUGUGGUUUAUAUAAUACACACCCACACACAAUUUUAUUAAGAUUCUUGUAGAUAUCAAAAUUAUGUAGCUAAUAAUUAUAAGCUUAUGUACAUGCACCCAAUAACCAUUGAUCUUGUAUACCUAAGGCUCAGACUUAGUGUUUAAGAUUUUCUAUAUUAUCAAAAUCUUUGUGUAAUUUAAAGAUUGAUAUUCCUUCUUAUAAAUGGAAUAAGGCAUAUUUAAACCUGGUUACAGAGCAAUUUUAUAUAAUUUAUAUCAGGUCACAGCCUGCUGAUGAAGAUCCUCAGCUUAUACAGAGGUCAGACUUGAGCUAUGUGCUGAUUCAAAAGAUGCUAAUGACAGUGGAUAAUCCAUUCUGAGUUGUUCUAGGACCAUUCACCAACGUUUCAAAACACUGAUGGAACUGAAGGCAGUACGUGUACUGGUGUCUGGCCUGUGAUUUCAAAUUGAUGUACCUCCUUGAAUACAAUAUAUCUGCCAUGUGAAAGGAACAAGCUGCAAGAUAUACUGUGGAAGUGGGGGCCUAUGUAAAAAAAAACAUUUUAUUUAAAGAAUAUAAGAAAUCUGACACUAAACUACUGAAAAGGUACACAGGGGACAUUUUUGUGUGUAUAGACUUUCAUCAAGAUUCUGAGAAAGUUGAUUUAUUAAACAAAAAUAGUCAUGUCAUAUUGUGUCUUCAAAGCUGAAAAGAUUAAGAUCUUAGGAAAACAUUAGGACUCAAAAAAAGUAAUGGGGUUAUGAAACUGUAGUGUUCAACAUUUAAACUGUUUUUGUUUUUUUCACUACAUUUUGUGAAGAGGGUUCCAUCACAAGAUGUGACAUAUUGGUAAGAAUGAGAUGUAGUUUAUGAAAAAAAGUAUUUUGCUUUAAAUGUGCAGACUUUAAGUUACAUAAAAAAUCAAAGCUGUAACAAUAAAGCUUGAUUAAAAAAAAAACACUGUUGAAAACUAGCCUUUAUGUAAAUGUCACACUUUUUUGGGUGCACAGGGGACACAAUUAGCUAUAUAAUUUAAUAUAACUUUUACUCUUAGGCCCUUGCUAAAUUUCUAUAACGAACUUGUCCGUUUUACAAUUUGGACAGUAUUAUUAAGUGUUAAAAGGGGUGCUAACCAAAAAGAUACUGACUGAAUGGCGAACAGUGCAGAUCAAGAUCAGACUGCACAGAUGUGCAGGCUGAUCAUGAUCUACACUUGUCGCAAAGGUAGGACCAACCAUGUACAGCAUAAUAAGGGUUAAAACUGCUUGAGCCAUUCAGCUGAAAUUGCAAACAUUUGUUGACUACAUUGAUUGGAUAUAUGUAAUUUGCCCCAAAACACUUUAUAAAACUGAACUGAAUUAAAAUAAGGUGAGAGAGAAGAAAAAGCUUAAUUAUUUAAAAAAAAAAACAA
Mercenaria mercenaria is the source of this 1868-nucleotide long non-coding RNA. RefSeq lists it as uncharacterized. The transcript is spliced from 2 exons. The record is from RefSeq and is a predicted model, not a curated record. Lineage: Eukaryota; Metazoa; Mollusca; Bivalvia; Venerida; Veneridae.